This is a long non-coding RNA of Anneissia japonica, 347 nucleotides long. RefSeq lists it as uncharacterized. The record is from RefSeq and is a predicted model, not a curated record. NCBI's taxonomy places the organism in Eukaryota, Metazoa, Echinodermata, Crinoidea, Comatulida, Comatulidae. The transcript is spliced from 3 exons.
AGAUUCAAUAAUUUGUGAAGAUGAACCAUGUAAGAACGGCGGGACUUGUGAAGGCUCAUUUAGAGAGCCGUGGAUUUACCGGUGUCACUGCGCAGAUGGUUAUACAGGAAGCAACUGUCAAGACCUAGUCGCUGAUCGUUGCCACGUGGCUGACAAUCCAUGCUCGAAUGGAGGAUCUUGUACUGGUAUCAAGGGAUAUCCAUGUGAAUGCGUUUUGGGAUACACAGGCCCGUUUUGUAACGGUACUUGUGACUCGAAUAUCUGUCAAAAUGGAGGAGCUUGUACUGGUUAUGAUUUAUAUCCAUGUGAUUGCCAAUACGGUUUCGCCGGUGACUUUUGUGAAAAAG